This 253-nucleotide ribosomal RNA is filed under the name uncultured bacterium. Its description in RNAcentral is "partial 16S ribosomal RNA". It matches the Rfam family "Bacterial small subunit ribosomal RNA", at positions 524 to 776 of the family's 1533-position model. The record is from RNAcentral.
UACGUAGGGUGCGAGCGUUAAUCGGAAUUACUGGGCGUAAAGCGUGCGCAGGCGGUUAUGUAAGACCGAUGUGAAAUGCCCGGGCUUAACCUGGGAACUGCCUUUGUGACUGCAUGGCUAGAGUUUGGCAGAGGGGGGUAGAAUUCCACGUGUAGCAGUGAAAUGCGUAGAUAUGUGGAGGAACACCGAUGGCGAAGGCAGCCCCCUGGGUCAAGACUGACGCUCAUGCACGAAAGCGUGGGGAGCAAACAGG